Molecule: long non-coding RNA, 863 nt
Filed under: Cicer arietinum (chickpea)
Lineage: Eukaryota; Viridiplantae; Streptophyta; Magnoliopsida; Fabales; Fabaceae
Description: long non-coding RNA (CARI_LNC002524)
Source: RNAcentral
AAUGACAUCAUUUUUAAAGGAUAAAAUCAAAAUUUCACCAAACAAACAACAUAAUGAAAGUGUCAUAUUAAAGAACGAGACAACGUAAAAGACGUGAAUCAGUGUAUACCGGCGAAAAAGAUGGCAACGGUGGUGUAGCGGUGGUCAGUUUUCCGGCGACGGUACCAUCAGAGGUUUGAGUUUUUUAGUCUUAUCUUUUUACUAUUAACCUUACAUUUACAUAACACUAGAGCUAUUAUAAUGUAAAAGGAAAAUAAAAGAAAAUAUACCUUCUCUUCUUCUUGCUUGUUUGCUUUUGCUUCUACUCUUUUUUCUUCUUUUUUGUUUUGGUAUUUUUCUGUUCGUGUUCGAUCUCUCCUCCUUUGUGUGUGUGUGUUUUUUUUUUCAGUAGAGUUAAACUCCGAUCCUUUUAAAAGAUAAACAAAGAUGUAUUUGUAGAGUUUUUUAACUUGUCUUGUUGUUUUCUUUGUCUGUGCCACUGUUUGAGUUUGAGCUUUUCAGAUCCAUGUUUGAUGCUUCAUCUCUUUUGCUCAUCAUCUGAGUUUUUUUUUCUGCUUUGAUGCAUUCAUGGUUUUGACUUAUUUGUUUUGAUCUGUUCAUUUGCUGAGUUUUUUCAAAUGCAGCUUUAAUUUGUCUUUUAGGUUUUUUUUUUAAACUCAAAAGUUUGUCUCUUUGCUAUCUAUAAUGUGUACAAUGGCUAACUUAUAAAAAUUAUCUUUUUAUUUCUCUAAUUAGUUACAACAGGUACAAAUGUAUCAAUGAGCAUGGCUUGUGCAUCAAUAGCAGUCAACAUCAACAUAGCAAAGUUUGACAGUGAGCAAGGACAUCAAUAGAGAACAAAACAAAGGCAAAACUCGAACAGC